GAGUUUGAUUCUGGCUCAGGAUGAACGCUGGCGGCGUGCCUAACACAUGCAAGUCGAACGAAGCAUAUAGAAGGAAGUUUUCGGAUGGAAUUUUAUAUGACUUAGUGGCGGACGGGUGAGUAACGCGUGGAUAAUCUGCCUUACACAGCGGGAUAACAAGUGGAAACAGUUGCUAAUACCGCAUAAGCACACAGUAUCGCAUGAUACAGGGUGAAAAGAUUUAUCGGUGUAAGAUGAGUCCGCGUCCCAUUAGCUAGUUGGUGAGGUAAAAGCUUACCAAGGCGACGAUGGGUAGCCGGCCUGAGAGGGUGAACGGCCACAUUGGGACUGAGACACGGCCCAGACUCCUACGGGAGGCAGCAGUGGGGGAUAUUGCACAAUGGGCGAAAGCCUGAUGCAGCGACGCCGCGUGAAGGAUGAAGUAUUUCGGUAUGUAAACUUCUAUCAGCAGGGAAGAAAAUGACG
This 465-nucleotide ribosomal RNA is filed under the name Lachnospiraceae bacterium canine oral taxon 024. RNAcentral's name for it is "bacterial SSU rRNA". It matches the Rfam family "Bacterial small subunit ribosomal RNA", at positions 9 to 456 of the family's 1533-position model. Lineage: Bacteria; Bacillati; Bacillota; Clostridia; Lachnospirales; Lachnospiraceae. The record is from RNAcentral.